RNAcentral lists this ribosomal RNA (495 nucleotides) under uncultured Streptococcus sp. Its description in RNAcentral is "partial 16S ribosomal RNA". Lineage: Bacteria; Bacillati; Bacillota; Bacilli; Lactobacillales; Streptococcaceae. The record is from RNAcentral.
CACGUAGUUAGCCGUCCCUUUCUGGUAAGUUACCGUCACAGUGUGAACUUUCCACUCUCACACUCGUUCUUCUCUUACAACAGAGCUUUACGAUCCGAAAACCUUCUUCACUCACGCGGCGUUGCUCGGUCAGGGUUGCCCCCAUUGCCGAAGAUUCCCUACUGCUGCCUCCCGUAGGAGUCUGGGCCGUGUCUCAGUCCCAGUGUGGCCGAUCACCCUCUCAGGUCGGCUAUGUAUCGUCGCCUUGGUGAGCCGUUACCUCACCAACUAGCUAAUACAACGCAGGUCCAUCUCUUAGUGAUGCAAUUGCACCUUUCAAAUCAAUAUCAUGCGAUAUCGACUUUUAUGCGGUAUUAGCUAUCGUUUCCAAUAGUUAUCCCCCGCUAAGAGGCAGGUUACCUACGCGUUACUCACCCGUUCGCAACUCAUCCGCUCGGUGCAAGCACCAAGCUUCAGCGUUCUACUUGCAUGUAUUAGGCACGCCGCCAGCGUUCA